GGAGGAAACGCAGUUGAGGAGGGAAAACUAUUUUUAUUCUUCAUUGAAUUAUAAUGUUAUAAAGGAGUUUAGGGAAACGUUUUUUUUUCUCUCCAUGAAAUAAGAAUAUUAUAUCAAGGAGGUCUGGGAAGGUGUGAUGUAGUUAAUGGAGAUGGAGGUGUGUUUUAGGAGGUCUGGGCAGGUGUGAUGUAGUUAAUGGAGAUGGAGGUGUGUUUUAGGAGGUCUGGGCAGGUGUGAUGUAGUUGAUGGAGGUGUGUUCUAGUGGGUCUGGGAAGGUGUGAUGUAGUUGAUGGAGGUAUGUUCUAGUGGGUCUGGGAAGGUGUGAUGUAGUUAAUGGAGAUGGAGGUGUGUUUUAGGAGGUCUGGGCAGGUGUGAUGUAGUUGAUGGAGGUGUGUUCUAGUGGGUCUGGGAAGGUGUGAUGUAGUUGAUGGAGGUGUGUUCUAGUGGGUCUGGGCAGGUGUGAUGUAGUUAAUGGAGAUGGAGGUGUGUUUUAGGAGGUCUGGCCAGGUGUGAUGUAGUUGAUGGAGGUGUGUUCUAGUGGGUCUGGGAAGGUGUGAUGUAGUUGAUGGAGGUGUGUUCUAGUGGGUCUGGGAAGGUGUGAUGUAAUUAAUGGAGAUGGAGGUUUGUUCUAUUGGGUCUGGGCAGGUUUGAUGUAGUUAAUGGAGAUGUGUUCUAGUGGGUCUGUGCAGGUGUGAUGCAGUUAAUGGAGAUGGAGGUGUGUUCGAGUGGGUCUGGGCAGGUGUGAUGCAGUUAAUGGAGAUGGACGUGUGUUCUAGUGGGUCUGGGCAGGUGUGAUGCAGUUAAUGGAGAUGAUGGGGGUGUUCUAGUGGGUCUGGGCAGGUGUGAUGCAGUUAAUGGAGAUGGACGUGUGUUCGAGUGGGUCUGGGCAGGUGUGAUGCAGUUAAUGGAGAUGGACGUGUGUUCUAGUGGGUCUGGGCAGGUGUGAUGCAGUUAAUGGAGAUGAUGGGGGGUGUUCUAGUGGGUCUGGGCAGGUGUGAUGUAGUUAAUGGAGAUGGAGGUGUGUUCGAGUGGGUCUGGGCAGGUGUGAUGCAGUUAAUGGAGAUGGACGUGUGUUCUAGUGGGUCUGGGCAGGUGUGAUGCAGUUAAUGGAGAUGAUGGGGGGGUGUUCUAGUGGGUCUGGGCAGGUGUGAUGUAGUUAAUGGAGAUGGGAGGGUGUUCUAGGGGGUCUGGGAAGGUGUGAUGCAGUUAAUGGAGAUGAUAGUUAAUGGGGGGUGUUCUCGUGGGUCUGGGCAGGUGUGAUGAAGUUAAUGGAGAUGGAAGUGUGCUCUAGUGGGUCUGGGCAGGUGUGAUGAAGUUAAUGGAGAUGGAUGUGUGCUCUAGUGGGUCUGGGCAGGUGUGAUGAAGUUAAUGGAGAUGGAAGUGUGCUCUAGUGGGUCUGGGCAGGUGUGAUGUAGUUAAUGGAGAUGGAGGUGUGUUCUAGGGGGUCUGGGCAGGUGUGAUGUAGUUAAUGGAGAUGGAGGUGUGUUCUAGUGGGUCUGGGCAGGUGUGAUGAAGUUAAUGGAGAUGGAAGUGUGCUAUAGUGGGUCUGGGCAGGUGUGAUGUAGUUAAUGGAGAUGGAGGUGUGUUCUAGGGGGUCUGGGCAGGUUUGAUGUAGUUAAUGGAUAUGGAUGUGUGCUCUAGUGGGUCUGGGCAGGUGUGUUGUAGUUGAUGGAGGUGUGUUCUCGUGGGUUUGGGCAGGUGUGAUGUAGUUAAUGGAGAUGGAGGUGUGUUCUAGGGGCUCUGGGCAGGUGUGAUGUAGUUAAUGGAGAUGGAGGUGUGUUCUAGUGGGUCUGUGCAGGUGUGAUGUAGUUAAUGGAGAUGGAGGUGUGUUCUAGUGGGUCUGGGCAGGUGUGAUGUAGUUAAUGGAGAUGGAGGUGUGUUCUAGUGGGUCUGGGCAAGUGUGAUGUAUUUAAUGGAAAUGGGAGUGUGUUCUAGUGGGUCUGGGCAGGUAUGAUGUAGUUUUAUGGAGGAGUGUUCUCGUGGGUCUGGGCAGGUGUGAUGUAGUUAAUGGAGAUGGAGGUGUGUUCAAGUGGGUAUGGGCAGGUGUGGUGUAGUAAAUGGAGAUGGAUGUGUGUUCUAGUGGGUCUGUGCAGGUGUGAUGCAGUUAAUGGAG
Oncorhynchus keta (chum salmon) is the source of this 2113-nucleotide long non-coding RNA. RefSeq lists it as uncharacterized. Lineage: Eukaryota; Metazoa; Chordata; Actinopteri; Salmoniformes; Salmonidae. The transcript has 4 exons. The record is from RefSeq and is a predicted model, not a curated record.